GCCGCGGUGGCGGAAUUGGCAGACGCGCACGGUUCAGGACCGUGUAUCUGAAAGGAUGUGUGGGUUCAACUCCCACCCGCGGCA
This 84-nucleotide transfer RNA is filed under the name Candidatus Sungiibacteriota bacterium. RNAcentral's name for it is "tRNA-Leu". It matches the Rfam family "tRNA". From Rfam's summary of the family: Transfer RNA (tRNA) molecules are approximately 80 nucleotides in length. Lineage: Bacteria; Candidatus Sungiibacteriota. The record is from RNAcentral.